ACGGGGGUGCAGCCGGCGCGAAACUUCCGCAAUGCGCGAAAGCGUGACGGGGGUAAUCCGAGUGGCAACCGAAAGGUUGUCUUUUAGCGGAGUCUGAAUCACUCGCAGAAUAAGUGCUGGGUAAGUCACGUGCCAGCCGCCGCGGUAAUACGUGCAGCACGAGUGGUGUCCACGAAUAUUGAGCCUAAAACGCAUGUAGUCGGUCUAGAAAAUCUUCCGUCAAAUCUCAGAGCUUAACUUUGAGGCGUGCGGGGGACACUUCUAUGACUUGGGAAUGGGGGAGUUCGAGAGUACAUUAAGGGGAGGGGUAAAAUCCUGUAAUCCUUGAUGGACUAACAGUGGCGAAGGCGCUCGAAUAAAACAUGUCCGACGGUGAGAUGCGAAGGCUAGGGGAGCAAAUGGGAUUAGAUACCCCAGUAGUCCUAGCAGUAAAUUAUGCGUUCUUGGCGUUGCACAUUCUUCGUGAUAGUGCAGUGCCUAAAGGAAGCCAUUAAGAACGCUGCUUGGGGAGUACGAUCGCAAGGUUGAAACUUAAAGGAAUUGGCGGGGGAGCAC
Molecule: ribosomal RNA, 555 nt
Filed under: uncultured archaeon
Lineage: Archaea
Description: bacterial SSU rRNA
Rfam family: Archaeal small subunit ribosomal RNA
Source: RNAcentral